GGUGCCGUGGCAGAGUGGUCUAUUGCGUGAGAUUGCUAUUCUCAUUCCUUCGGGAGCACAGGUUCGAAUCCUGUCGGCAUCG
This is a non-coding RNA of Hypoxylon fuscum, 82 nucleotides long. Lineage: Eukaryota; Fungi; Ascomycota; Sordariomycetes; Xylariales; Hypoxylaceae. The record is from the annotation of a GenBank genome assembly.